This 2830-nucleotide ribosomal RNA is filed under the name Escherichia coli. RNAcentral describes it as "partial 23S ribosomal RNA". It matches the Rfam family "Bacterial large subunit ribosomal RNA". The record is from RNAcentral. Lineage: Bacteria; Pseudomonadati; Pseudomonadota; Gammaproteobacteria; Enterobacterales; Enterobacteriaceae.
GGGUUGUGAGGUUAAGCGACUAAGCGUACACGGUGGAUGCCCUGGCAGUCAGAGGCGAUGAAGGACGUGCUAAUCUGCGAUAAGCGUCGGUGAGGUGAUAUGAACCGUUAUAACCGGCGAUUUCCGAAUGGGGAAACCCAGUGUGUUUCGACACACUAUCAUUAACUGAAUCCAUAGGUUAAUGAGGCGAACCGGGGGAACUGAAACAUCUAAGUACCCCGAGGAAAAGAAAUCAACCGAGAUUCCCCCAGUAGCGGCGAGCGAACGGGGAGGAGCCCAGAGCCUGAAUCAGUGUGUGUGUUAGUGGAAGCGUCUGGAAAGGCGCGCGAUACAGGGUGACAGCCCCGUACACAAAAAUGCACAUAUUGUGAGCUCGAUGAGUAGGGCGGGACACGUGGUAUCCUGUCUGAAUAUGGGGGGACCAUCCUCCAAGGCUAAAUACUCCUGACUGACCGAUAGUGAACCAGUACCGUGAGGGAAAGGCGAAAAGAACCCCGGCGAGGGGAGUGAAAAAGAACCUGAAACCGUGUACGUACAAGCAGUGGGAGCCUCUUAAUGGGGUGACUGCGUACCUUUUGUAUAAUGGGUCAGCGACUUAUAUUCUGUAGCAAGGUUAACCGAAUAGGGGAGCCGAAGGGAAACCGAGUCUUAACUGGGCGUUAAGUUGCAGGGUAUAGACCCGAAACCCGGUGAUCUAGCCAUGGGCAGGUUGAAGGUUGGGUAACACUAACUGGAGGACCGAACCGACUAAUGUUGAAAAAUUAGCGGAUGACUUGUGGCUGGGGGUGAAAGGCCAAUCAAACCGGGAGAUAGCUGGUUCUCCCCGAAAGCUAUUUAGGUAGCGCCUCGUGAAUUCAUCUCCGGGGGUAGAGCACUGUUUCGGCAAGGGGGUCAUCCCGACUUACCAACCCGAUGCAAACUGCGAAUACCGGAGAAUGUUAUCACGGGAGACACACGGCGGGUGCUAACGUCCGUCGUGAAGAGGGAAACAACCCAGACCGCCAGCUAAGGUCCCAAAGUCAUGGUUAAGUGGGAAACGAUGUGGGAAGGCCCAGACAGCCAGGAUGUUGGCUUAGAAGCAGCCAUCAUUUAAAGAAAGCGUAAUAGCUCACUGGUCGAGUCGGCCUGCGCGGAAGAUGUAACGGGGCUAAACCAUGCACCGAAGCUGCGGCAGCGACACUAUGUGUUGUUGGGUAGGGGAGCGUUCUGUAAGCCUGUGAAGGUGGCCUGUGAGGGUUGCUGGAGGUAUCAGAAGUGCGAAUGCUGACAUAAGUAACGAUAAAGCGGGUGAAAAGCCCGCUCGCCGGAAGACCAAGGGUUCCUGUCCAACGUUAAUCGGGGCAGGGUGAGUCGACCCCUAAGGCGAGGCCGAAAGGCGUAGUCGAUGGGAAACAGGUUAAUAUUCCUGUACUUGGUGUUACUGCGAAGGGGGGACGGAGAAGGCUAUGUUGGCCGGGCGACGGUUGUCCCGGUUUAAGCGUGUAGGCUGGUUUUCCAGGCAAAUCCGGAAAAUCAAGGCUGAGGCGUGAUGACGAGGCACUACGGUGCUGAAGCGACAAAUGCCCUGCUUCCAGGAAAAGCCUCUAAGCAUCAGGUAACAUCAAAUCGUACCCCAAACCGACACAGGUGGUCAGGUAGAGAAUACCAAGGCGCUUGAGAGAACUCGGGUGAAGGAACUAGGCAAAAUGGUGCCGUAACUUCGGGAGAAGGCACGCUGAUAUGUAGGUGAAGCGACUUGCUCGUGGAGCUGAAAUCAGUCGAAGAUACCAGCUGGCUGCAACUGUUUAUUAAAAACACAGCACUGUGCAAACACGAAAGUGGACGUAUACGGUGUGACGCCUGCCCGGUGCCGGAAGGUUAAUUGAUGGGGUUAGCGGUAACGCGAAGCUCUUGAUCGAAGCCCCGGUAAACGGCGGCCGUAACUAUAACGGUCCUAAGGUAGCGAAAUUCCUUGUCGGGUAAGUUCCGACCUGCACGAAUGGCGUAAUGAUGGCCAGGCUGUCUCCACCCGAGACUCAGUGAAAUUGAACUCGCUGUGAAGAUGCAGUGUACCCGCGGCAAGACGGAAAGACCCCGUGAACCUUUACUAUAGCUUGACACUGAACAUUGAGCCUUGAUGUGUAGGAUAGGUGGGAGGCUUUGAAGUGUGGACGCCAGUCUGCAUGGAGCCGACCUUGAAAUACCACCCUUUAAUGUUUGAUGUUCUAACGUGGGCCCCUUACCGGGGUUGCGGACAGUGUCUGGUGGGUAGUUUGACUGGGGCGGUCUCCUCCUAAAGAGUAACGGAGGAGCACGAAGGUUGGCUAAUCCUGGUCGGACAUCAGGAGGUUAGUGCAAUGGCAUAAGCCAGCUUGACUGCGAGCGUGACGGCGCGAGCAGGUGCGAAAGCAGGUCAUAGUGAUCCGGUGGUUCUGAAUGGAAGGGCCAUCGCUCAACGGAUAAAAGGUACUCCGGGGAUAACAGGCUGAUACCGCCCAAGAGUUCAUAUCGACGGCGGUGUUUGGCACCUCGAUGUCGGCUCAUCACAUCCUGGGGCUGAAGUAGGUCCCAAGGGUAUGGCUGUUCGCCAUUUAAAGUGGUACGCGAGCUGGGUUUAGAACGUCGUGAGACAGUUCGGUCCCUAUCUGCCGUGGGCGCUGGAGAACUGAGGGGGGCUGCUCCUAGUACGAGAGGACCGGAGUGGACGCAUCACUGGUGUUCGGGUUGUCAUGCCAAUGGCACUGCCCGGUAGCUAAAUGCGGAAGAGAUAAGUGCUGAAAGCAUCUAAGCACGAAACUUGCCCCGAGAUGAGUUCUCCCUGACUCCUUGAGAGUCCUGAAGGAACGUUGAA